GUCCCGCUGCCCUCGGCGCUGGGGUGGGAGUUGCAGAGAGGAAGAGUCGCUAACCCGGAGUGUUUCUUAAAACUUGGCUGACCUGUGUGACCUGCGGAUUUGGAGGCUGAAUUCUCCGAGCACCUGAAGCUACUACAGGAUAUAAUCUAAGAAAAUAAGGGGAAGAAAACAAGAAAGAGGAAGACAUUGGAUCCAAGAAAUGGGGGAUCUAUCACCUUACAGAUGAAAAGAGAAUCUACAUGAUCUUUGUGAAGAUAUGACCUUGGGACUUGCUUUAGCCAGUGGAAUGGAAGCAGAAGUAACCUGUAAUUUCCAGCUAGAUGGGUGAUAUGGCAACUUAGGAUUCUACCUGAAUCAGCAUGGUAAAGUAUUUGGUGUGCUGGGGUAGUUUUUGAACCCAUUCUGCUUUUCUUUCCUUUUCCUGACACUUACCUCUUGCAAUCCAAGCGAAGAGAGAAGACUGGCUGCUGUUUCUCUGCCCCUUCUCCCUGCAGAUCCGUCCCAACUACUCCAUCCCAACACUCCCAUCUGUCCCACGUCAAGAGGCUGGUUUAGAGGAGUUUAUGUGAGGAUGAUCUCUUCUUUGCCCCCUCUGCCUUUUCUUUCCAUUUUUUUUCAGGGGAGCCCUGUACUUGGUACUUUUUCUUUGGCUUUUCACUUCUCCCAAAAUAGUUAUAUCUACUUUAGUCACUUCUCAUAAGUACAGACACAUCUUCUGUAAUCUCCAUCCUCUUUCCCCACUUCCUUCCAAUUCUUGCCCAUUUGCUUCAAGAAGGGCUCUCUUCCUUAACAUGCUCUCUUCCUAUUUCCUUGCUCCUUUCAUGAAAAAGCCAACAUCUUGGCUGACAAGUCACACACCUUUGUAAAGGAAACAAACAAAAUCCUCCAUCCACCCUCAUGAGGAGUGCUUCACAGGGGUACUCCAGCUACUGGGUCCUUUGGCUGCAGUGUAGACCUAGAGGAAGAGAUAAGCCCAGAGACUGAGCUGGGAGAGUGGGCACAGACUUGACAUUCAUCUCAGCAAACAGGGUGGAGAAGGGUAAAGCCAAAGCUGGGACUGUGAGGAACAAGGUGGCCAAGAAUGCAGUGUGCAGUGGAAGACGGUUUGAAUACAUUCCAGAGAUGGGGAGCAGAGCACUUUAACCUACUCUCCACCCUGGCUUGUGUUGUUAACAGACAAUUAUUAAUGGCCAGGAAUGAGCGGACAGUAGCCAGUGUGGCUGAGACCUAAAACAGUGUUACAGAUCAGUUAACUAUACAAGUCCUGCACAGUGGAUGCUGGGAGAAAAGGGAAGGAGUGGGAAGAGAAGAUAGAGUUGCGGAGUUUUAACCACUGUUGCCAAAGAUAGGGGAUAGAAGAGAAAGAAAAACAAGGCUCUAAUCCUUAAAAAAUUUCCCGAAAUUCUCUUAAGAAAGUCUUUUCAAAAGUUUCCAUUUACAUUUCUUCUGUCUUAAACACAGAUUUUAACCACAAUUACUAUUCAGUCAAUUAAAUGUUUGGUUGUACUUA
Gorilla gorilla gorilla (western lowland gorilla) is the source of this 1510-nucleotide long non-coding RNA. RefSeq lists it as uncharacterized. The transcript is spliced from 4 exons. Lineage: Eukaryota; Metazoa; Chordata; Mammalia; Primates; Hominidae. The record is from RefSeq and is a predicted model, not a curated record.